This 3446-nucleotide long non-coding RNA is filed under the name Bos grunniens (domestic yak). RNAcentral describes it as "lncRNA (ENSBGRG00000025205.1)". The record is from RNAcentral. Lineage: Eukaryota; Metazoa; Chordata; Mammalia; Artiodactyla; Bovidae.
AUGACUCAUGAUAUUCCCUUUCACCUGGAUUGUGCCCUAUUUUUAUCCAUAAUUGGGGGGGGCGCAGUGCAAAGCGGGUCUUCCCAGGUGGUGCUAGUGGUAAAGAACCCGCCUGCCAGUGCAGGAAACAUGAGACACAUGGGUUCAAUCCCUGGGUUGAGAAGAUCCCUGGAGAGGGCAUGGCACCCACUCCAGUAUUCUUGCCUGGAGAAUCCCAUGGACAGAGGAGCCUGGCAGGCUACAGUCCAUGGGGUCACAAAGAGUCAGACACAACUGAAGCAACUGGAACAACCACAGAGUGGUCUCUUGGAAGGACUAAGCCCUCUGCACUUUCUAAAGAAUGUUUUCCUGGGACCUGUGGUAUCUGCAGGCUUCACUUGAUCCAAGUGAUAAAGAUCCUGUGGUCUUAAUUCCAUCUAAUCUCAUCUGCUUUGGGAUUUUGAUCAAGGAACUACUUUCUAUCUCAGAACUUAAUCCUUUACCAUCAAUCCUUUAUCUCUGCCUAUAGAUAUGAACCAAUUAUCCUCUCCCACUAAACUACUCCUAUCCUCAACUACACAAACCACCUUGACCUCAGCUGACCUCUCCCUUCACUGUCCACCCUCACUUGCAAGGCUGUGGCUUCCAGGAAAGUCAUUUCUCAGGCAGCAGCAGUGAUUCCGAGUUGCCAGAUGCAAUGGCAUUUUAUCAGGAUUCAUGCCCUUUGAGCUCUUGAAAGCAGCCCAUUGUGCUAAUCACCUUUGCUUUUGAGUUUCAAGUCAUAUCUACUAAAUAUUAACUUUAUAAAACCCUACAUUCUAUCAGAGACAUGUAGAAUAAAACCUGUAUUUCAUUCUUUAUACAAAGAAUUAUGUGAGUCCAAAACCAGGUAAAUGCUAAUAAAAUGUGUAAGUUCCUUGGCCUGCCGCUGAAGAUCUCACGUCAUCAAGCAGGAUGAUCAGUUUCCAGUGCUGCCAUCUACCUGUCGCCCUGUGCUCUGCAACAGCCACCUCCGUCCAUACUGCUACUCCUGCCCUCAUCCCGGGCACUAACUGUGAUCCCGCCUAAACAACGGAGCCUGUUCCAGCAUCCCUCUCAUGCGACUGACUCCCUCAUUGCCCCAGCCUCAGACGAUCAUCACAUCCUCUGAAUUACUGUAUUUCAUGUGAAGUGAAAGUGUUAGUCACUCAGUCGCGUCCGACUCUUUGUGACCCCAUAGACUUGUAGCCCACUAGGCUCCUCUGUCCACAAGAUUCUCCAGGCAAGAAUACUGGAAAGGUUUGUCGGUCCCUUCUCCAGGGGCUCUUCCCCACCCAGGGAUGAAACCCAGGCCACCUGCAGGGCAGGCAGACUCUUUACCGUCUGAGCCACCAGGGAAGCCGACAUUCAUCCAAUAAUGCUUCAUGCCAUAGUUCUUCAGUUCAGUUCAGUCAGUUCAGUCGCUCAGUCACGUCUGACUCUGUGACCCCAUGGACUGCAGCACAUCAGGCCUCCCUGUCCAUGACCAACUCCUGGGGCUUACUCAAACUCAUGUCCAUCGAGUCAGUGAUGCCAUCCAACCAUCUCAUUUACAUGGCCCUGCCCAUUAGAACAAGACCCAGUUUUCCCUCAGUCUCUCCCAUCAGGAAGCUUCCAUAAGCUUCUUAUCCUUAUCCAUCAGAGGGUAGACAGAAUGAAAACCACAAUCACAGAAAAUUAAACUGAUCACAUGGACCACACCCUUGUCUAAGUCAAUGAAACUAUGAGCCAUGCCGUGUAGGGCCACCCAAGAUGGACAGGUCAUGGUGGAGAGUUCUGACAAAAUGUGGUCCACUGGAGCAGGCAACAGGAAACCACUUCAGUAUUCUUGCCUUGAGAACCCCGCACAGUAUGCCACAGUUCUUCACUGGAGAUACACACAGACCAAGGAUAGGUGCCCUCUUUCUAGUUUGGAGACAGGCAGAAGUUUGCAGUGACGGCUUCUCCCUGUCCCCAACUUCCAGGGCAGUCCACCCCUCAACCCCGACAGACUCUGGCAUGGCCACAAGACUUGUUCUGGCCAAUGGGCCAUCAGCGGAUGUGAUAUAAGCAGAGGUUUCAUCACACUUAGAUACCAGCGAUGGUUCUCUCUGUGGCUCUACAGAGCCCGAGACCUCUACAUGGGUAGCUUACUGGAGGGUGAAAAACUAUGUGGGACAGAAACAAGUUUGCCCAACUGAGCACCCUGCCCCCAGACCAGGCAGACCCCAGCCAAACCACCAGCCUGCAGCCAUCCGUCAGGCCGACACAGACCAGAGCUGCCCAGCUGACCACAGAAUCAGGAGACUAAUCAAUGCCUCUGGUUUGCAGCCAUUAAGGCUUCUAAGAUUGUAAGAGAGGAUCGAUUAAUAUACAGAGUAUCUGGCACAUUGUAUUGUUCUGAAUUGAGUGAAGAAUUGAGGAAAAAUUUAACCUCUCUCUGAUCAUCCAAUUCUCUCUCUGUAAAUUAUAGUUUUCCCAGCAUAUAAAUUAAAAUACCCUAUGUUCUGCAAUUUUUUUUUUGUUUGUUUUGUAGAAUGAAAAGCUAGAGGGCAGCAUACUGUAAAAGACACAGUAGGUAUUAUACCUACAUAGCUGUGGAUUUGAAAUCAAGAUGCAACAUUUAUUGUCUUUGGUAAAUCCUGUAAGAUUUCUGUGUCUCAGUUUCUUUUUUUGAAGUGGAAAAAUACCACCAAUUUCGCCAUAUGAGAGAUAAGAUUUUUUUAAUUUAAAAGGAGGUAAGAUAUAUAUUAAAUAACAAAUGCAGGAUCUGGCACUGUUCUUCAAUAACCAAGAGAUAUUAUCAUCAUGUACAUAAAUAUUGCUAAAUAUUAAUCUGAAAAUAAGGAGGUUGAAAGAUUUCUCUCUCAAACUGAGUUUCCAUACCACUAUCCUCACUACUGCAAGUGAAGAAUUUGUCAGUGUCCGACACACAGCAGAGUGAGGAAAGGUCUGAAUUGAGAUGAAGAUAACUCUGAAGGCUUUAACAAUCUCUGGAUAUCUUGACUUUUGUUUAUAUCAUCCCUUGGCAUCUCCAAAGUGGAAAAUUUUCCAUCCAGAACAGAGGAGCAAGUUAAUCAUAAACUUUAAUUGUACAGGAGCUGAUCAGUGGGUAUUCUGAGGGGGUUAUGGGAAUAAUAAGUCAUUAGAAAAUGGAACCAAAGUUAUUUAGGAAGAUGCAAGUUAUUUAGAAGUUUUGAAUAAUUUACAGCUAGCUAGAUAAUUUAGAGAAUCCAGAGACAACUAAUUCAGUAAACUUACUUAGCACAGAUAGAUGCUUUGUCAUCCUCUAUCAAAAAUUAUCAUGGUUUUCAAAAAUAGAGCAUCUGGGAAGCUUCCUGAAUAAUAAACCAAAUUUGAAUUUAUUUAUUUUGAAUUCCUUUGUGUCCAACCAAUUGAGCCAGUUUAAAAUAAAGGUUCAUCACAUCCUCUGAAUUACUGUAUUUCAUGUGAAGUGAAAGUGUUAGUCA